AUUGAACGCUGGCGGCAUGCCUUACACAUGCAAGUCGAACGGCAGCACGGGUGCUUGCUCCUGGUGGCGAGUGGCGAACGGGUGAGUAAUACAUCCGAACAUGUCCUGUAGUGUGGGAUAGCCCGUCGAAAGCCGGAUUAAUACCGCAUACUCUCUACGGAUGAAAUUUGGGGACCUUCGGCCCUCGCUCUAUGGGGUUGCCCGGUGGCUGUUUAGCUAUUUUGUGGGGUAAAGGCCUACCAAGGCGACGAUCCGUAGCUGGUCUGAGAGGACGACCAGCAACACUGGGACUGAGACACGGCCCAGACUCCUACGGGAGGCAGCAGUGGGGAAUUUUGGACAAUGGGCGAAAGCGUGAUCAAGCAAUGCCGCGUGUGUGAAGAAGGCCUUCGGGUUGUAAAGCACUUUUGUACGGAAAGAAAGCCUUGGCCCUAAUACGGUCGGGGGAUGACGGUACCGGACGAAUAAGCAACGGCUAACUAAGUG
Molecule: ribosomal RNA, 486 nt
Filed under: uncultured bacterium
Lineage: Bacteria
Description: partial 16S ribosomal RNA
Rfam family: Bacterial small subunit ribosomal RNA
Source: RNAcentral